This 475-nucleotide ribosomal RNA is filed under the name Coris gaimard (yellowtail coris). Its description in RNAcentral is "partial small subunit ribosomal RNA". It matches the Rfam family "Bacterial small subunit ribosomal RNA", at positions 788 to 1491 of the family's 1533-position model. The record is from RNAcentral. Lineage: Eukaryota; Metazoa; Chordata; Actinopteri; Labriformes; Labridae.
CACUAUGCCUAGCCCUAAACAUCGAUAAAAAUUUACCUUCUUUAUCCGCCCGGGUACUACGAGCGUUAGCUUAAAACCCAAAGGACUUGGCGGUGCUUCAGAUCCACCUAGAGGAGCCUGUUCUAGAACCGAUAAUCCCCGUUAAACCUCACCUUUCCUUGUAUUUUCCGCCUAUAUACCGCCGUCGUCAGCUUACUCUGUGAGGAGCUCGUAGUAUGCACAAUUGGCUUAGCCCAAAACGCCAGGUCGAGGUGUAGCGUAUGGAAAGGGAAGAAAUGGGCUACAUUCAAUAGCUAUAAUGAAUACGAAUGAUAUCAUGAAAAAAAUAUCUGAAGGAGGAUUUAGCAGUAAGCAGAGAAUAGAGUGCUCUGCUGAAGCUGGCCCUGAAGCGCGUACACACCGCCCGUCACUCUCCCCGAAAACAAAUCAACACAUCACUAAUCAACCAAAGCCAUAGAGGGGAGGCAAGUCGUAA